This 725-nucleotide ribosomal RNA is filed under the name uncultured bacterium. RNAcentral's name for it is "bacterial SSU rRNA". It matches the Rfam family "Bacterial small subunit ribosomal RNA", at positions 771 to 1501 of the family's 1533-position model. The record is from RNAcentral.
AACAGGAUUAGAUACCCUGGUAGUCCACGCCCUAAACGAUGUCUACUAGUUGUCGGGUUUUAAUUAACUUGGUAACGCAGCUAACGCGUGAAGUAGACCGCCUGGGGAGUACGGUCGCAAGAUUAAAACUCAAAGGAAUUGACGGGGACCCGCACAAGCGGUGGAUGAUGUGGAUUAAUUCGAUGCAACGCGAAAAACCUUACCUACCCUUGACAUGUACGGAAGCCUGGAGAGAUCUGAGUGUGCUCGAAAGAGAGCCGUAACACAGGUGCUGCAUGGCUGUCGUCAGCUCGUGUCGUGAGAUGUUGGGUUAAGUCCCGCAACGAGCGCAACCCUUGUCAUUAGUUGCUACGAAAGGGCACUCUAAUGAGACUGCCGGUGACAAACCGGAGGAAGGUGGGGAUGACGUCAAGUCCUCAUGGCCCUUAUGGGUAGGGCUUCACACGUCAUACAAUGGUACAUACAGAGGGCCGCCAACCCGCGAGGGGGAGCUAAUCCCAGAAAGUGUAUCGUAGUCCGGAUUGUAGUCUGCAACUCGACUACAUGAAGUUGGAAUCGCUAGUAAUCGCGGAUCAGCAUGUCGCGGUGAAUACGUUCCCGGGUCUUGUACACACCGCCCGUCACACCAUGGGAGCGGGUUUUACCAGAAGUAGGUAGCUUAACCGCAAGGGGGGCGCUUACCACGGUAGGAUUCGUGACUGGGGUGAAGUCGUAACAAGGUAACC